This 695-nucleotide ribosomal RNA is filed under the name uncultured Candidatus Pelagibacter sp. RNAcentral describes it as "bacterial SSU rRNA". It matches the Rfam family "Bacterial small subunit ribosomal RNA", at positions 747 to 1443 of the family's 1533-position model. Lineage: Bacteria; Pseudomonadati; Pseudomonadota; Alphaproteobacteria; Candidatus Pelagibacterales; Candidatus Pelagibacteraceae. The record is from RNAcentral.
UGAGGAACGAAAGCAUGGGUAGCGAAGAGGAUUAGAUACCCUCGUAGUCCAUGCCGUAAACGAUGUGUGUUAGACGUUGGAAAUUUAUUUUCAGUGUCGCAGCGAAAGCAUUAAACACACCGCCUGGGGAGUACGACCGCAAGGUUAAAACUCAAAUGAAUUGACGGGGACCCGCACAAGUAGUGGAGCAUGUGGUUUAAUUCGAAGAUACGCGCAGAACCUUACCAACACUUGACAUGUUCGUCGCGACUCUAAGAGAUUAGAGUUUUCGGUUCGGCCGGACGAAACACAGGUGCUGCAUGGCUGUCGUCAGCUCGUGUCGUGAGAUGUUGGGUUAAGUCCCGCAACGAGCGCAACCCUUACUUUUAGUUGCCAUCAUUUAGUUGGGCACUCUGAAAGAACUGCCAGUGAUAAGCUGGAGGAAGGUGGGGAUGACGUCAAGUCCUCAUGGCCCUUACGUGUUGGGCUACACACGUGCUACAAUGGCAUUUACAAUAGGAAGCAAGACGGCGACGUCAAGCAAAUCCUAAAAAGAUGCCUCAGUUCGGAUUGUACUCUGCAACUCGAGUACAUGAAGCUGGAAUUACUAGUAAUCGCGGAUCAGCGCGCCGCGGUGAAUACGUUCCCGGGUCUUGUACACACCGCCCGUCACACCAUGGAAGUUGGUUCUACCUUAAGGCAAGGCUUAAAACCCU